This 219-nucleotide long non-coding RNA is filed under the name Nicotiana benthamiana. RNAcentral describes it as "long non-coding RNA (NBEN_LNC011564)". The record is from RNAcentral. Lineage: Eukaryota; Viridiplantae; Streptophyta; Magnoliopsida; Solanales; Solanaceae.
UGUUGUUCUAUGAUAGUGGUUUCAUCUUCUAGAUUAGGCACUGAAACUGAUCAUUUUUUUAUUCCUUCAAAUUUUUUAUUCAGGGGCCUGGAUUUUUGGCUGUAUUCUGUAAUGGUUUUACUACCUUUUUUUUCAACUGUUAUUAAUUUUUUCAGAUUUAACACUAACUGACUGUCCACGGAUUCAGAUAUUCAAUCCCACAAUGAUUGGAAAUUUGUG